Long non-coding RNA from Oncorhynchus tshawytscha (Chinook salmon), 740 nucleotides. NCBI's taxonomy places the organism in Eukaryota, Metazoa, Chordata, Actinopteri, Salmoniformes, Salmonidae. The record is from Ensembl.
CUCUCUCUCUCUCAGCUCAGUCUCUGUUUCUCUGUCUGAAACAGGUGGGUGUUACCCCAGCUAAAAAAGAGCACUCUCUCUCUCAGCUCAGUCUCUGUUUCUCUGUCUGAAACAGGUGGGUGUUACCCCAGCUAAAAAAGAGCUCUCUCUCUCUCUCAGCUCAAUCUCUGUUUCUCUGUCUGAAACAGGUGGGUGUUACCCCAGCUAAAAGAGAGCAAGCAGAGAAAAAGCCAGACCAGUCCAAGACAUCUGCACCGGUCAAAGCCCCAAUAAAGGCCCCUAAAACACAAGCGAAGACUAUCAAGACAGUGUCAGUGACGGCCCCGGGAAACAAGGCGUUGCCGGGAAACAAGGCGUUGCCGGGAAACAGAAAAACAUCUGCCGACGGCCAACAGAGGACCGAUACGCCGGCCAACACAAGAGCUGAGAAAAGGAAAAAGAUCGGAAUGUAUUCUUCCCAGGACGAGUCUGUCCAAGGGCAGAAGACAGCCCCGGCCAGUUCAGCUGUAAUCCCACCAGCCAGCAAGAAGACGAGAUUGACGGAGGAGAAAAGCUCGUCCACUCCAAAGAGCGAGAAGACCACAGAAGAGAGAAAGAAACAGGACGAGAGAAGAGGGAGGAAGAGGAAAAAGGAUGAUGAGGGAGAGAAGAUGAAGGAAGUUGGUGUUGAAGAGGGAAAGAUUGAAGUCAGUAAGAUGAGGAAGAUGGAAAGUUUAGAAACAGACAAACAAGUAAUCCAC